Molecule: ribosomal RNA, 1229 nt
Filed under: Capsicum baccatum
Lineage: Eukaryota; Viridiplantae; Streptophyta; Magnoliopsida; Solanales; Solanaceae
Description: bacterial SSU rRNA
Rfam family: Eukaryotic small subunit ribosomal RNA
Source: RNAcentral
ACCUGGUUGAUCCUGCCAGUAGUCAUAUGCUUGUCUCAAAGAUUAAGCCAUGCAUGUGUAAGUAUGAACAAAUUCAGACUGUGAAACUGCGAAUGGCUCAUUAAAUCAGUUAUAGUUUGUUUGAUGGUAUCUACUACUCGGAUAACCGUACUAAUUCUAGAGCUAAUACGUGCAACAAACCCCGACUUCUGGAAGAGAUGCAUUUAUUAGAUAAAAGGUCGACGCGGGCUCUGCCCGUUGCUGCGAUGAUUCAUGAUAACUCGACGGAUCGCACGGCCAUCAUUUCGGCGAUGCAUUAUUCAAAUUUCUGCCCUAUCAACUUUCGAUGGUAGGAUAGUGGCCUACCAUGGUGGUGACGGGAGACGGAGAAUUAGGGUUCGAUUCUGGAGAGGGAGCCUGAUAAACGGCUACCAAAUCUAAGGAAGGCAGCUGGCACGCAAAUUACCCAAUCCUAACACGGGGAGGUACCCAGGGAUCAGCGGAUGUUGCUUUUAGGACUCCACCGGCACCUUAUGAGAAAUCAAAGUUUUUGGGUUCCGGGGGGAGUAUGGUCUCAAGGUUGAAACUUAAAGGAAUUGACGGAAGAGCACCACCAGGUGUGGAGCGUGCGACUUAAUUUGACUCAAUACGGGGAAACUUACCAGGUCCAGACAUAGUAAGGAUUGACAGACUGAGAGCUCUUUCUUGAUUCUAUGGGUGGUGGUUCAUGGCCGUUCUCAGUUGGUGGAGCGAUUUUUCUGGUUAAUUCCGUUAACGAACGAGACCUCAGCCUGCUAACUAGCUAUGCGGAGGUAUCCCUUCGCGGCCAGCUUCUUAGAGGGACUACGGCCUUUUAGGCCGCGGAAGUUUGAGGCAGUAACAGGUCUGUGAUGACCUUAGAUAUUCUGGGCCUCACGCGCACUACACUGAUGUAUUCAACGAGUUUAUAUCCUUGGCCAACAGGCUCGGGUAAUCUUUGAAAUUUCAUUGUGAUGGGGAUAGAUCAUUGAAAUUAUUGGUCUUCAACGAGGAAUUCCUAGUAAGCGCGAGUCAUCAGCUCAUGUUGAAUACGUCCCUGCCCUUUGUACACACCGCCCGUUGCUCCUACCGAUUGAAUGAUCCGGUGAAAUGUUCGGAUCGCGGCGACGUGGGCGGUUCACUGCCCGCGACAUUGCGAGAAGUUCAUUGAACCUUAUCAUUUAGAGGAAGGAGAAGCCGUAACAAGGUUUCCGUAGGUGAACCUGCGAAAG